RNAcentral lists this unclassified non-coding RNA (319 nucleotides) under plant metagenome. Its description in RNAcentral is "partial contains 5.8S ribosomal RNA, internal transcribed spacer 2, and large subunit ribosomal RNA". The stretch from base 1 to 105 matches the Rfam family "5.8S ribosomal RNA", at positions 50 to 154 of the family's 154-position model. The record is from RNAcentral.
GAAAUGCGAUAAGUAAUGUGAAUUGCAGAAUUCAGUGAAUCAUCGAAUCUUUGAACGCACAUUGCGCCCGCCAGUAUUCUGGCGGGCAUGCCUGUUCGAGCGUCAUUACAACCCUCAGGCCCCGGGCCUGGCGUUGGGGAUCGGCGGAAGCCCCCUGCGGGCACAACGCCGUCCCCCAAAUACAGUGGCGGUCCCGCCGCAGCUUCCAUUGCGUAGUAGCUAACACCUCGCAACUGGAGAGCGGCGCGGCCACGCCGUAAAACACCCAACUUCUGAAUGUUGACCUCGAAUCAGGUAGGAAUACCCGCUGAACUUAAGC